GGGUCAGUAGGUUGGUCGUGCCACCGGUACGUACUGGUCUCACUGAUUCCUCCUUCCUGAAGAACCGUAAUGCCAUUAAUUUGGUGUUGCGGGGAGACAGGACUGUUACUUUGAAAAAAUUAGAGUGUUUAAAGCAAGCUAACGCUUGAAUACAUUAGCAUGGAAAAAUGAAAUAGGACGAUCGAUCCUAUUUUGUUGGUUUCUAGGAUUGACGUA
RNAcentral lists this ribosomal RNA (216 nucleotides) under Glomeromycotina sp. Its description in RNAcentral is "partial small subunit ribosomal RNA". The stretch from base 40 to 216 matches the Rfam family "Eukaryotic small subunit ribosomal RNA", at positions 686 to 864 of the family's 1831-position model. The record is from RNAcentral. Lineage: Eukaryota; Fungi; Glomeromycota.